Molecule: ribosomal RNA, 376 nt
Filed under: uncultured bacterium
Lineage: Bacteria
Description: bacterial SSU rRNA
Rfam family: Bacterial small subunit ribosomal RNA
Source: RNAcentral
GACGAACGCUGGCGGCAUGCCUAAUACAUGCAAGUCGAACGCUGAAGCACUCUGCUUGCGGAGUGCGGAUGAGUGGCGAACGGGUGAGUAACACGUGGGAAAUCUGCCUAGGAGUGGGGGAUAACAUUCGGAAACGGAUGCUAAUACCGCAUAUCUUUUUGAACCGCAUGGUUCUUAAACGAAAGACGGCUUCGGCUGUCGCUCUUAGAUGAUCCCGCGGCGUAUUAGUUAGUUGGUGGGGUAAAGGCCUACCAAGACCAUGAUACGUAGCCGACCUGAGAGGGUGAUCGGCCACACUGGGACUGAGACACGGCCCAGACUCCUACGGGAGGCAGCAGUAGGGAAUCUUCCACAAUGGGUGAAACCUAGAUGGAGC